RNAcentral lists this ribosomal RNA (354 nucleotides) under bacterium enrichment culture DGGE gel band N16. Its description in RNAcentral is "bacterial SSU rRNA". It matches the Rfam family "Bacterial small subunit ribosomal RNA", at positions 958 to 1312 of the family's 1533-position model. The record is from RNAcentral.
AACGCGAAGAACCUUACCUACUCUUGACAUCCACAGAACUUAGCAGAGAUGCUUUGGUGCCUUCGGGAACUGUGAGACAGGUGCUGCAUGGCUGUCGUCAGCUCGUGUUGUGAAAUGUUGGGUUAAGUCCCGCAACGAGCGCAACCCUUAUCCUUUGUUGCCAGCGGUCCGGCCGGGAACUCAAAGGAGACUGCCAGUGAUAAACUGGAGGAAGGUGGGGAUGACGUCAAGUCAUCAUGGCCCUUACGAGUAGGGCUACACACGUGCUACAAUGGCAUAUACAAAGAGAAGCGACCUCGCGAGAGCAAGCGGACCUCAUAAAGUAUGUCGUAGUCCGGAUUGGAGUCUGCAACU